This 250-nucleotide unclassified non-coding RNA is filed under the name uncultured fungus. RNAcentral describes it as "partial contains small subunit ribosomal RNA, internal transcribed spacer 1, and 5.8S ribosomal RNA". The stretch from base 1 to 73 matches the Rfam family "Eukaryotic small subunit ribosomal RNA", at positions 1759 to 1831 of the family's 1831-position model. Lineage: Eukaryota; Fungi. The record is from RNAcentral.
UCAAACUUGGUCAUUUAGAGGAAGUAAAAGUCGUAACAAGGUUUCCGUAGGUGAACCUGCGGAAGGAUCAUUAACGUGUACGCCGCCCGCCCGCGGGCCGUCACACCCCCUGCGUCCCUCCGGUUGCUUCGGCGAGGCCUCCUCGCCGACAGACCCCCCAACGCUGGCUUUUGAGAUGUCCGAGCCUGAAUUCAAUCAGAAAACUUUCAACGAUGGAUCUCUUGGUUCCAGGAUCGAUGAAGAACGCAGC